GUAGAGAAAAUGAUUCGGGAGAUCAGGAGGUCCCUGUCUGAAAGAUCUCCCUCUGCUCAGGACAAUGUUGGUGUUGCCCCUGAUUCUUCAGGAUCGGAGCCUGUGAACAGAGCUGCAGCAGAGGAAGCUUCAUCUGGCACCGAGAGCUGCAGGAACAGUUCCCAGGAGCCCGAGGAGCCUGAUGCCAUCUGACCAACAUCUCCAGGAGGG
Long non-coding RNA from Melospiza melodia melodia, 210 nucleotides. RefSeq lists it as uncharacterized. The record is from RefSeq and is a predicted model, not a curated record. The transcript has 3 exons. Lineage: Eukaryota; Metazoa; Chordata; Aves; Passeriformes; Passerellidae.